This 479-nucleotide ribosomal RNA is filed under the name uncultured bacterium. RNAcentral describes it as "partial 16S ribosomal RNA". It matches the Rfam family "Bacterial small subunit ribosomal RNA", at positions 28 to 507 of the family's 1533-position model. The record is from RNAcentral.
GAUGAACGCUAGCGGGAGGCCUAACACAUGCAAGCCGAGCGGUAGAGUCUCUUCGGAGACUUGAGAGCGGCGCACGGGUGCGGAACACGUGUGCAACCUGCCUUUAUCUGGGGGAUAGCCUUUCGAAAGGAAGAUUAAUACCCCAUAAUAUACUGGAUGGCAUCAUCUGGUAUUGAAAACUCCGGUGGAUAGAGAUGGGCACGCGCAAGAUUAGAUAGUUGGUGGGGUAACGGCUCACCAAGUCAGCGAUCUUUAGGGGGCCUGAGAGGGUGAUCCCCCACACUGGUACUGAGACACGGACCAGACUCCUACGGGAGGCAGCAGUGAGGAAUAUUGGACAAGGGGUGAGAGCCUGAUCCAGCCAUCCCGCGUGAAGGACGACGGCCCUAUGGGUUGUAAACUUCUUUUGUAUAGGGAUAAACCUAGAUACGUGUAUCUAGCUGAAGGUACUAGACGAAUAAGCACCGGCUAACUCCGUG